CAGAGAAAAAGUAAGAAAAAAAUAGAGAAAAAUUUCAAGGAGCUUUAGGGAUCAAUUAUGGGGAGAUUAUGGAGCUAGAGAGUUUGAUGUAUGGCUAAAUUCCUUCAAUCCAGGAAUAUGAUGAAGCCUGUAAAUGAAUUUUUAUUUUUUUUGUAUUUAACUUUUAUGUAAUAAAAUUUUACUUUUAUUUCAUAUCUUUUUAUUUUUUCUGAGAUAUUGAUCCAGCCUACACGGCCUAUACCUUCUCUUGACAUCCCG
Molecule: long non-coding RNA, 258 nt
Filed under: Elaeis guineensis (African oil palm)
Lineage: Eukaryota; Viridiplantae; Streptophyta; Magnoliopsida; Arecales; Arecaceae
Description: long non-coding RNA (EGUI_LNC067451)
Source: RNAcentral